Molecule: ribosomal RNA, 726 nt
Filed under: Triticum aestivum (bread wheat)
Lineage: Eukaryota; Viridiplantae; Streptophyta; Magnoliopsida; Poales; Poaceae
Description: partial small subunit ribosomal RNA
Source: RNAcentral
AUGCCACCCUCACCCGCGCUGCUGCUGGACGGCGGGGCCUUGUGGCCUGCCUCGCUCGAAGCAGCAACAGGGGGCGACAGAAGCAAAGAAGUCGUUGGUAUUGGGCGGCCGGAUGGAGGCCGCGUCGCCAUACGAGCACGCGGACGAUGCUCCUGCGGUGGCAGCGGUGAUGGCCAGACUCAGAAGUGCUUCAGGGAGGAAUUGGAUGGGUGGGAGCAGCUGCGGGUGGCGUGCGGCAGGGUCAAUGAGAUAGUCGACGAUGGGAACACCAGUUUGACGCCGACAUGGCCUGCUCCUGCUGCCACCCCAGCAAAGUGUACUGCUAUAGCCAAGUCGUGGGAGAAACCACCUGAGGGCAUGAUGAAAUUGAAUUUUGAUAGCUCAUUCAUGGGGAGUACAGGCGAUGUGGGUGUUGUCAUGAUCCUUCGAGAUGCACAAGGACAGAUUGUGUUCUCUUCCUGCAGAUCAUUGCAACGCUGCUGGUCAGCCCUUGAGCCCGAACUAUGUGCCUGCUUGGAGGGCAUGUCGCUUGCACUAGAUUGGAGCCAUGUGGAUGUUAUGGUGGAAACUGACUCAGCUGAACUUGCUGCAAUGAUAAAUAGCUCCUCCCGUGACUGCUCACAGCUGGGACAUCUCGUUGAGCAGGUGAAGUAUCUCAUGAGACAGGGAAGACGUUUUUCCAUCAACAAAAUCAGUCGUGAACAGAACCAGCAAGCCACCUGCUAG